UACGUAGGGUGCAAGCGUUGUCCGGAAUUAUUGGGCGUAAAGAGCUCGUAGGCGGUCUGUCGCGUCGGCUGUGAAAUCCCGAGGCUCAACCUCGGGUCUGCAGUCGAUACGGGCAAACUAGAGUAUUGCAGGGGAGACUGGAAUUCCUGGUGUAGCGGUGAAAUGCGCAGAUAUCAGGAGGAACAUCGGUGGCGAAGGCGGGUCUCUGGGCAAUAACUGACGCUGAGGAGCGAAAGCGUGGGGAGCGAACAGG
Molecule: ribosomal RNA, 253 nt
Filed under: uncultured bacterium
Lineage: Bacteria
Description: partial 16S ribosomal RNA
Rfam family: Bacterial small subunit ribosomal RNA
Source: RNAcentral